AGUGCGUGUAUAUAGGAUUGAGCUCCCGUGCUUUUAAGUUAUUGGUAUUUGUAUAUUUUUUUACCAUUAAAUUAAGGGAUAUACGAUUGAAUAAUAUAAUCUAACGGAUAAAAAUGAUCGAAAGAAUUAACAGUAAAAAAAUUUACAAGCAGCAUAACUGAACUCUCUCUUUCUCUCUCCAUAUAUAUAUAUAUACACAUACAUACACACUUUGGAAAAAAUGCAUGGUGUCGUAAUCUAUAUAACGUUGUAUCACUUUCAUAUUAGCAACAUGUUAAUAUUUAGUAAACUAAAUCGAGUUGUGUAGGCUGAUUACAAUAAUUUAAAGUUUUAGUACCAAAUUAAAGUGUGAUUUAGUUUUUUUUUUCUUUUUUAAAAAAUAGAUUUUAUAAGAUUGAAUG
RNAcentral lists this long non-coding RNA (401 nucleotides) under Ananas comosus (pineapple). Its description in RNAcentral is "long non-coding RNA (ACOM_LNC014111)". The record is from RNAcentral. Lineage: Eukaryota; Viridiplantae; Streptophyta; Magnoliopsida; Poales; Bromeliaceae.